Long non-coding RNA from Chroicocephalus ridibundus (black-headed gull), 1488 nucleotides. RefSeq lists it as uncharacterized. Lineage: Eukaryota; Metazoa; Chordata; Aves; Charadriiformes; Laridae. The record is from RefSeq and is a predicted model, not a curated record. The transcript is spliced from 3 exons.
UGCCACUGAGCUAUAGAUUAAAAGGGAAAGAAAAAAAUGUUAGCCAUCUUCAGCUGUGCAGCAAAGCGUGACAGAUGCACAAUCAGCCCUUUGUAAAGGAGAUACUGAUUUCUGAGCAGCAGAAAACCAUUAUGCUAAAGUCCAUUCUGCAGAGUUUUCCUUCUUGAACGGUCAGGUCUCCAGGAGCCUGCAGAAAAUGAGGCCGGAAGAAUCUUUCCUGAAUUGGUUCAUUUUCAUCACCACUGUCCCUUGAUCGAGAUCGUGGUCUUAAAAUAACAUGAAAUAAAGGUGCCAAGCGCCUCAUUUACCACACGCCAGAUGGACCCAGCUUUUGUGGGCUGUUCCCAGAGCGCAGCGAUAGCAGGGUAUUCCCCCUCCAUGAGCAGCCUGAGCUUUGGACUUAACAGGCCUAAACAUGAAGCCUUAGGGGGGAUUUGGGGGGGGGAUGCCUCAGUGAGAGCUGGUGGGAAUGGUGGGAAAUGCGCUCAGGACUGUGGGAAGCCCAAUUUGUUCCAUGCAGGAAUAAGGCUGAUAAGAUCUUUUAAACAACCAACCUCGCUUCCUAAUGCCUCCUCGUUAUCAGAGCGGGUAAGGGAGUCUGUUUUGCGGGCAGCAAUUUUACAUUACAUCCUACUACCGCUACUAAUGUUAGAGGAAUCAUUUCUUUAUUGCACAUUGACUGUAUUUAGUUACACCUAUUCGACAUAUUGGGCAAUACUGGGAUUCUGUGGCCAUUGUGACCAUUAGGCAAAACACAUGCCCCAUCACAGCAGAAUCCGGAACCGGAGCCCUCAUUCCCUUGAAAGCGAUUCUGUCUGGGUAAGCAAAAUGAAUUUUUUUGUAUCAUCGAAAGCUGUCUAAGCUAUGCUAAAUAGCCUCAUAAAUGCUUUAAGUAAUGAAAACGAAGUAAUUGAAGGGAAAAUGCCCUUAUAUGGUCCAAAACCAUAAACCAAAGCUUCAUAUGUGAAUAAUAGUAAACUCACCAAAGAUAAGUUUAAUACUUUAUUUCUGACUCAUAAUUCCUUCUAAGAGCCUGAACUGAAAUCACUGAAAUACUGAACUAUUUCUAAUGUAAAUCUAAUAAACUUAUUUGGCAUGCAGCUAUUUCUGCUGUUUCUUUAAAUGAAUACCUAUUAAAAGCUGCAGGAAGUCGAGGUUCCUGGUAGAUUUCUAGUCAGGUGAGAUGUUUUAAAAAAACAUCUAAGUGACAAGGUCCUUCCUUUGAGACAAGGAGUAAUUAGUGAACAUCGCCAAGAAAGGAGAAGGAGACAGGCAAAAUUAAACAUACUUAAAAAUCGUGUCAUUUCAGAGGUUGCUUAUACUUCGGAGCGCGCAAGCUGUGCAGAAAUUUUUAGACAGCAGAGGUCACAUUUCUUCCCAAAUGCCAGACCUUUAGCUUACACUCUUCACAUUCUUUAUCUUAUCAUCAUAAUUUUGCAAAACACUUACUAUUAAAAGGAAAAAAAAAAAAAAAAGAAAAAGCAAAGC